CAAGUAUCGGGUCGGGCAGCCAACCAGUCGUCGCCUACCAGCCUGGUGUAAGCUUGAAGAAUAAUCCUCAGCUGGCGACUGUGGAGAAUCAGAACAAAACAAAAAGUCAAAACAUUAGAGACAAAGCAUAACUCAGCACAACUCACCGAUUCUGGCCUUUCUGAAUUCUAAAUCAUGUGCUGCAACAAAGCCCAUUUCCCAAAAUUUACUGCUUUAUACAAAAAGCUCAAACUUGAUCUCAAAACAGAGACAGAAUUAGAUUAAAGAAGUUUCAAUUAAGAAUGGGGCUUUUCUCUCUUACAGUUGCAGGUGCUGGUUUUAUGCUGAUUGGUGCAUAUGAAUCUCUCUCAAGUUCAAUGUCAUCUUCACCUGUCAAUCAUCAGAUAACAAAAUCAGCUAUAGAAAAGAACCCAAAAGGCCAAUCUUUAAUUUAUAUCGGUAUCACUGUUUU
RNAcentral lists this long non-coding RNA (451 nucleotides) under Ricinus communis (castor bean). Its description in RNAcentral is "long non-coding RNA (RCOM_LNC000676)". Lineage: Eukaryota; Viridiplantae; Streptophyta; Magnoliopsida; Malpighiales; Euphorbiaceae. The record is from RNAcentral.